AUAUAAAAAGCCAUUAAUUGACUUUCAAAUCAGAAAAUAGACAUAAUAAUCUCAGCUCUCAAAUAGGAUCAUCUUCUUCCCUUGAAGCUUUCAUGUCAAAAUUCUUCCAACUUCCAUAACUUCUUCAAUAUAGCUCCAAAUCGAUUGAUUUUCGCGGCAACGGAAAGAGGAGAGGAUUAUCUAUCGAUCUAUGGUAUCAAAUUAAGGUGAAUAGGAGCUUGUAUGAAGGAUUGUGAUGGUGAUUUUGAAAUAUUAACCCUUCGGCCUCCAUCAAAAACCAAGACUUGACGGGGCGACGGCCAAUGGAACCCGGAACGUACAGAACGCGACAUCGCUUAGCUAUUAUCGAAGAUUAUGGAUAGCAAGCAUGUGUUUUUCAGGUAUCUCGAUCCGGACUUGACUAGAUGUCCACCUUUUGACCGGAAGUCAAUGUUCCAAUAAACAGUUCUGACUUCCAUGUCUGCUGCAGUAGUAUAAUGUCUGACUAGUGUCAUGGCCUAGUAGAACAGUAAAAAUUGUACGUUGUUUAUAGUUGCUGUCUGUUGUGCAUAUUUUGGUUUGGUUACAAUAGUUAUGUUUUGUACCACGGAGGUAGAUUCCCGUGAUGUAACUUUGACAAUAAUAGUUUAUGCCGGGCUAGUACGUAUAUGAUACGGAAAUGAUAAGUCCGAGCAAGUUGUAUGAUUUUUACCAGUGUAUAAAUGUGUUUUUGUUUAAA
Molecule: long non-coding RNA, 718 nt
Organism: Mercurialis annua (annual mercury)
Lineage: Eukaryota; Viridiplantae; Streptophyta; Magnoliopsida; Malpighiales; Euphorbiaceae
Exons: 4
Source: RefSeq, a predicted model, not a curated record